GAUUAGCUCAGUUGGUCAGAGCAUGGUGCUAGUAACACCAUGGUUGUUGGUUCAAUCCCUCUAUGGACCA
Non-coding RNA from Lamprotornis superbus, 70 nucleotides. The record is from the annotation of a GenBank genome assembly. NCBI's taxonomy places the organism in Eukaryota, Metazoa, Chordata, Aves, Passeriformes, Sturnidae.